This 1349-nucleotide ribosomal RNA is filed under the name metagenome. Its description in RNAcentral is "bacterial LSU rRNA". It matches the Rfam family "Bacterial large subunit ribosomal RNA", at positions 1564 to 2925 of the family's 2925-position model. The record is from RNAcentral.
UGAGUGCGAGCUGCUACGGCAGCGAAGUUGGUGACGUCAUGCUUCCAAGAAAAGCCCUAUACCCGUUAAGGCAUCAUGGCCUGUACCCGAAACCGACACAGGUGGGGUGGUAGAGAAUACCGAGGGGCGCGAGGUAACUCUCUCUAAGGAACUCGGCAAAAUGGCCCCGUAACUUCGGGAGAAGGGGUGCCACCGCAAGGUGGUCGCAGUGAAGAGGCCCAGGCGACUGUUUACCAAAAACACAGGUCUCCGCUAAGUCGCAAGACGAUGUAUGGGGGCUGACGCCUGCCCAGUGCCGGAAGGUUAAGGAAGCUGGUCAGCGCAAGCGAAGCUAGCGGCUGAAGCCCCGGUGAACGGCGGCCGUAACAAUAACGGUCCUAAGGUAGCGAAAUUCCUUGUCGGGUAAGUUCCGACCCGCACGAAAGGCGUAACGAUCUGGGCGCUGUCUCGGAGAGAGGCUCGGCGAAAUAGAAUUGUCUGUGAAGAUGCGGACUACGUGCACCCGGACAGAAAGACCCUAUGAAGCUUUACUGUAGCUUGGUAUUGUGCCCGGGCUCGCAAUGCGCAGGAUAGGUGGGAGGCUUUGAUCAUCGGCUUGCGGGUCGAUGUGAGCCAACGGUGAGAUACCACUCUUUGCGAGCUAGGGUUCUAACGGCCACCCGUCAUCCGGGGGCCGGACAGUACCUGGUGGGCAGUUUGACUGGGGCGGUCGCCUCCUAAAAGGUAACGGAGGCGCGCAAAGGUUUGCUCAGGCUGGUUGGAAAUCAGCCGACGAGUGUAAAAGCAGAAGCAAGCUUGACUGUGAGACCAACAAGUCGAACAGGGAGGAAACUCGGCUUUAGUGAUCCGACGGUUCUGAGUGGAAGGGCCGUCGCUCAACGGAUAAAAGUUACUCUAAGGAUAACAGGCUGAUCUCCCCCAAGAGUUCACAUCGACGGGGAGGUUUGGCACCUCGAUGUCGGCUCAUCGCAACCUGGGGCUGAAGUCGGUCCCAAGGGUUGGGCUGUUCGCCCAUUAAAGCGGUACGCGAGCUGGGUUCAGAACGUCGUGAGACAGUUCGGUCCAUAUCCGGUGCACGCGCAGGAAUAUUGAGAGGAUUUCUCCCUAGUACGAGAGGACCGGGAGGAACGCACCUCUGGUGUACCAGUUAUCGUGCCAACGGUAAACGCUGGGUAGCCAUGUGCGGAGUGGAUAACCGCUGAAAGCAUCUAAGUGGGAAGCCCACCUCAAGAUGAGUAUUCCCAUGGCGUAAGCCAGUAAGGUCACGGGAAGAACACCCGUUGAUAGGCUCUAUGUGGAAGCGCAGUAAUGCGUGAAGCAGAGGAGUACUAAUAGACCGAGGGCUUGAC